Molecule: ribosomal RNA, 2904 nt
Filed under: Escherichia coli
Lineage: Bacteria; Pseudomonadati; Pseudomonadota; Gammaproteobacteria; Enterobacterales; Enterobacteriaceae
Description: 23S ribosomal RNA
Rfam family: Bacterial large subunit ribosomal RNA
Source: RNAcentral
GGUUAAGCGACUAAGCGUACACGGUGGAUGCCCUGGCAGUCAGAGGCGAUGAAGGACGUGCUAAUCUGCGAUAAGCGUCGGUAAGGUGAUAUGAACCGUUAUAACCGGCGAUUUCCGAAUGGGGAAACCCAGUGUGAUUCGUCACACUAUCAUUAACUGAAUCCAUAGGUUAAUGAGGCGAACCGGGGGAACUGAAACAUCUAAGUACCCCGAGGAAAAGAAAUCAACCGAGAUUCCCCCAGUAGCGGCGAGCGAACGGGGAGGAGCCCAGAGCCUGAAUCAGUGUGUGUGUUAGUGGAAGCGUCUGGAAAGGCGCGCGAUACAGGGUGACAGCCCCGUACACAAAAAUGCACAUGCUGUGAGCUCGAUGAGUAGGGCGGGACACGUGGUAUCCUGUCUGAAUAUGGGGGGACCAUCCUCCAAGGCUAAAUACUCCUGACUGACCGAUAGUGAACCAGUACCGUGAGGGAAAGGCGAAAAGAACCCCGGCGAGGGGAGUGAAAAAGAACCUGAAACCGUGUACGUACAAGCAGUGGGAGCCUCUUUAUGGGGUGACUGCGUACCUUUUGUAUAAUGGGUCAGCGACUUAUAUUCUGUAGCAAGGUUAACCGAAUAGGGGAGCCGAAGGGAAACCGAGUCUUAACUGGGCGUUAAGUUGCAGGGUAUAGACCCGAAACCCGGUGAUCUAGCCAUGGGCAGGUUGAAGGUUGGGUAACACUAACUGGAGGACCGAACCGACUAAUGUUGAAAAAUUAGCGGAUGACUUGUGGCUGGGGGUGAAAGGCCAAUCAAACCGGGAGAUAGCUGGUUCUCCCCGAAAGCUAUUUAGGUAGCGCCUCGUGAAUUCAUCUCCGGGGGUAGAGCACUGUUUCGGCAAGGGGGUCAUCCCGACUUACCAACCCGAUGCAAACUGCGAAUACCGGAGAAUGUUAUCACGGGAGACACACGGCGGGUGCUAACGUCCGUCGUGAAGAGGGAAACAACCCAGACCGCCAGCUAAGGUCCCAAAGUCAUGGUUAAGUGGGAAACGAUGUGGGAAGGCCCAGACAGCCAGGAUGUUGGCUUAGAAGCAGCCAUCAUUUAAAGAAAGCGUAAUAGCUCACUGGUCGAGUCGGCCUGCGCGGAAGAUGUAACGGGGCUAAACCAUGCACCGAAGCUGCGGCAGCGACACUAUGUGUUGUUGGGUAGGGGAGCGUUCUGUAAGCCUGCGAAGGUGUACUGUGAGGUAUGCUGGAGGUAUCAGAAGUGCGAAUGCUGACAUAAGUAACGAUAAAGCGGGUGAAAAGCCCGCUCGCCGGAAGACCAAGGGUUCCUGUCCAACGUUAAUCGGGGCAGGGUGAGUCGACCCCUAAGGCGAGGCCGAAAGGCGUAGUCGAUGGGAAACAGGUUAAUAUUCCUGUACUUGGUGUUACUGCGAAGGGGGGACGGAGAAGGCUAUGUUGGCCGGGCGACGGUUGUCCCGGUUUAAGCGUGUAGGCUGGUUUUCCAGGCAAAUCCGGAAAAUCAAGGCUGAGGCGUGAUGACGAGGCACUACGGUGCUGAAGCAACAAAUGCCCUGCUUCCAGGAAAAGCCUCUAAGCAUCAGGUAACAUCAAAUCGUACCCCAAACCGACACAGGUGGUCAGGUAGAGAAUACCAAGGCGCUUGAGAGAACUCGGGUGAAGGAACUAGGCAAAAUGGUGCCGUAACUUCGGGAGAAGGCACGCUGAUAUGUAGGUGAAGUCCCUCGCGGAUGGAGCUGAAAUCAGUCGAAGAUACCAGCUGGCUGCAACUGUUUAUUAAAAACACAGCACUGUGCAAACACGAAAGUGGACGUAUACGGUGUGACGCCUGCCCGGUGCCGGAAGGUUAAUUGAUGGGGUUAGCGGUAACGCGAAGCUCUUGAUCGAAGCCCCGGUAAACGGCGGCCGUAACUAUAACGGUCCUAAGGUAGCGAAAUUCCUUGUCGGGUAAGUUCCGACCUGCACGAAUGGCGUAAUGAUGGCCAGGCUGUCUCCACCCGAGACUCAGUGAAAUUGAACUCGCUGUGAAGAUGCAGUGUACCCGCGGCAAGACGGAAAGACCCCGUGAACCUUUACUAUAGCUUGACACUGAACAUUGAGCCUUGAUGUGUAGGAUAGGUGGGAGGCUUUGAAGUGUGGACGCCAGUCUGCAUGGAGCCGACCUUGAAAUACCACCCUUUAAUGUUUGAUGUUCUAACGUUGGCCCCUGAUCGGGGUUGCGGACAGUGUCUGGUGGGUAGUUUGACUGGGGCGGUCUCCUCCUAAAGAGUAACGGAGGAGCACGAAGGUUGGCUAAUCCUGGUCGGACAUCAGGAGGUUAGUGCAAUGGCAUAAGCCAGCUUGACUGCGAGCGUGACGGCGCGAGCAGGUGCGAAAGCAGGUCAUAGUGAUCCGGUGGUUCUGAAUGGAAGGGCCAUCGCUCAACGGAUAAAAGGUACUCCGGGGAUAACAGGCUGAUACCGCCCAAGAGUUCAUAUCGACGGCGGUGUUUGGCACCUCGAUGUCGGCUCAUCACAUCCUGGGGCUGAAGUAGGUCCCAAGGGUAUGGCUGUUCGCCAUUUAAAGUGGUACGCGAGCUGGGUUUAGAACGUCGUGAGACAGUUCGGUCCCUAUCUGCCGUGGGCGCUGGAGAACUGAGGGGGGCUGCUCCUAGUACGAGAGGACCGGAGUGGACGCAUCACUGGUGUUCGGGUUGUCAUGCCAAUGGCACUGCCCGGUAGCUAAAUGCGGAAGAGAUAAGUGCUGAAAGCAUCUAAGCACGAAACUUGCCCCGAGAUGAGUUCUCCCUGACUCCUUGAGAGUCCUGAAGGAACGUUGAAGACGACGACGUUGAUAGGCCGGGUGUGUAAGCGCAGCGAUGCGUUGAGCUAACCGGUACUAAUGAACCGUGAGGCUUAACCUU